GAUGAACGCUGGCGGCGUGCCUAAUACAUGCAAGUCGAGCGAACAGACGAGGAGCUUGCUCCUCUGACGUUAGCGGCGGACGGGUGAGUAACACGUGGAUAACCUACCUAUAAGACUGGGAUAAUUUCGGGAAACCGGAGCUAAUACCGGAUAAUAUAUUGAACCGCAUGGUUCAAUAGUGAAAGACGGUUUUGCUGUCACUUAUAGAUGGAUCCGCGCCGCAUUAGCUAGUUGGUAAGGUAACGGCUUACCGAGGCAACGAUGCGUAGCCGACCUGAGAGGGUGAUCGGCCACACUGGAACUGAGACACGGUCCAGACUCCUACGGGAGGCAGCAGUAGGGAAUCUUCCGCAAUGGGCGAAAGCCUGACGGAGCAACGCCGCGUGAGUGAUGAAGGUCUUCGGAUCGUAAAACUCUGUUAUUAGGGAAGAACAAAUGUGUAAGUAACUAUGCACGUCUUGACGGUACCUAAUCAGAAAGCCACGGCUAACUACGUG
Molecule: ribosomal RNA, 497 nt
Filed under: uncultured bacterium
Lineage: Bacteria
Description: partial 16S ribosomal RNA
Rfam family: Bacterial small subunit ribosomal RNA
Source: RNAcentral